CAGUCGCCGCGGUAAUACGAAGGGUGCAAGCGUUACUCGGAAUUACUGGGCGUAAAGCGUGCGUAGGUGGUGGUUUAAGUCCGUUGUGAAAGCCCUGGGCUCAACCUGGGAAUUGCAGUGGAUACUGGGUCACUAGAGUGUGGUAGAGGAUAGUGGAAUUUCCGGUGUAGCAGUGAAAUGCGUAGAGAUCUGGAGGAAUACCGAUGGCGAAGGCAGCCAUCUGGCCUAAUACUGACGCUGAGGUACGAAAGCAUGGGGAGCAAACAGGAUUAGAUACCCCAGUAGUCCCUGUCUCUUAUAC
This 301-nucleotide ribosomal RNA is filed under the name uncultured bacterium. Its description in RNAcentral is "partial 16S ribosomal RNA". It matches the Rfam family "Bacterial small subunit ribosomal RNA", at positions 509 to 807 of the family's 1533-position model. The record is from RNAcentral.